CGGACGGGUGAGUAACGCGUGGAUAACCUGCCUCACACUGGGGGAUAACAGUUAGAAAUGACUGCUAAUACCGCAUAAGCGCACGGUACCGCAUGGUACAGUGUGAAAAACUCCGGUGGUGUGAGAUGGAUCCGCGUCUGAUUAGCCAGUUGGCGGGGUAACGGCCCACCAAAGCGACGAUCAGUAGCCGACCUGAGAGGGUGACCGGCCACAUUGGGACUGAGACACGGCCCAA
RNAcentral lists this ribosomal RNA (235 nucleotides) under uncultured bacterium. Its description in RNAcentral is "partial 16S ribosomal RNA". It matches the Rfam family "Bacterial small subunit ribosomal RNA", at positions 99 to 334 of the family's 1533-position model. The record is from RNAcentral.